UUCUUGGAUGAGAAGUGAAAUGUUUUCAAAGGAAAAAAUACCCAAGGAAGUUCAGUUAUCUUUUGGAAAAGCACCUUUGGGUUAUGGACACAAGAGGUUUCUCUCAAUUCUUCUCCCAUGCUAAAAUUCAGCUGGAGCUGAAGAACUUUCCUGCAAAACAAAAACUUUAAUGUGGUCUUCUAUUCUCAAAAGGACAUCUUCAUAUUUACCUCCUUGGCAUAAAAAUCAAUCAACCCAUCAGAAUAGAGCUGAAAGGGACCUUGGAGAUCUUCUAGUCCACCCCCUGGCUGAAGCAGGAGACCCGAUACCAUUUCAGACAAGUGGCUCUCCAAUCUCUUCUUAAAAGCCUCCAGUGAUGAAGCACCCACAACUUCUGAAGUCAAAGCUGUUCCACUGAUCAAUUAACAGAAUAACAGAGUUGGAAGGGACCUUGAAGGUCUUGUAGUCCAGCCCCUUGCUCAAGUAGGAGACCCUAUAUCAUUUCAGAGAAGUGGAUGUCCAGUAUCUUGUUAAAAACCUCCAGUGAUGAAGCACCCAUAACUUCUGAAGUCAAAGCUUUUCCACUGGUUGAUUGUCCUCACUGUUAAGAAGUUUCUCCUUAAUUCCAGUUUGCUUCUCUCCUUGGUUAGUUUCCCUCCAUCAUUUCUUGGUUUCUCUUAUGUGUCAGUUCCUUGGAUGUGAAAAGAUGUGUUUCUUAGCUCAGGAGUCUCCAACCUUGGCAACUUUAAGACUUAUGGACUUCAAUUUCCAGAGUUCAAGCUGGCUGAGGAAUUCUGGGAGUUGAAGUCCACAAGUCUUAAAGUUGCCAAGGCUGGAGACCUCUGUCUUAGCUUGCUUAAUGACACAAUGCUUUUCUGAACCAAAACCAGAAGGGGACCUCCAAAAUCGGCACUGUCAUCGUGGUUAAAUUCGGCAAGAAAUGAAGACUCAUCUUCCAGUUGUAUUGCUGAUCAUUAUCUUGCACAUCAAGAAAGUUCCGUCGCUGGUGUGCUACUCUUGCAAUCAGACAAGCUACUCCGGGUGCACAAGCAUUAAAAAUUGUUCUCAUCAUGAGUAUUUCUGCACAAGGUACACAGGUAAGCAUGUAGCACACACCAGUCAGGCUGCAUCACUCUGUGUGUGAUGCAGUUAGCCCUCGACUUACCUCCAUUUGUUUAGCGACUGAAGUUACAA
Molecule: long non-coding RNA, 1173 nt
Filed under: Laticauda laticaudata (blue-ringed sea krait)
Lineage: Eukaryota; Metazoa; Chordata; Lepidosauria; Squamata; Elapidae
Description: lncRNA (ENSLLTG00000003785.1)
Source: RNAcentral